Molecule: ribosomal RNA, 491 nt
Filed under: uncultured bacterium
Lineage: Bacteria
Description: partial 16S ribosomal RNA
Rfam family: Bacterial small subunit ribosomal RNA
Source: RNAcentral
AGUGAACGCUGGCGGUAGGCCUAACACAUGCAAGUCGAACGGCAGCACAGUAAGAGCUUGCUCUUACGGGUGGCGAGUGGCGGACGGGUGAGGAAUACAUCGGAAUCUACUUUUUCGUGGGGGAUAACGUAGGGAAACUUACGCUAAUACCGCAUACGACCUACGGGUGAAAGCAGGGGAUCUUCGGACCUUGCGCGAUUGAAUGAGCCGAUGUCGGAUUAGCUAGUUGGCGGGGUAAAGGCCCACCAAGGCGACGAUCCGUAGCUGGUCUGAGGGGAUGGCCGCCCAACCUGAAAUGAGACCAGGGUCCAAACUCUUAGGGGGGGAGGCGGUGGGAAUAUUGGACAAUGGGCGCAAGCCUGAUCCAGCCAUACCGCGUGAGUGAAGAAGGCCUUCGGGUUGUAAAGCCCUUUUGUUGGGAAAGAAAAGCAGCAGGUUAAUACCCCGCUGUUCUGACGGUACCCAAAGAAUAAGCACCGGCUAACUUCGUG